Molecule: long non-coding RNA, 1949 nt
Organism: Prinia subflava (tawny-flanked prinia)
Lineage: Eukaryota; Metazoa; Chordata; Aves; Passeriformes; Cisticolidae
Exons: 2
Source: RefSeq, a predicted model, not a curated record
UGAGAAGGAGAGGGAUCCUAGCAAGGUGCCACUGUCACUGCACUCCCAAAGACCUUUUCAGAAGAGCGCAGCUCCUCUCGCACCGCCCCGGCUCCCUCCGUGUCGCGGUGUGCGGACUCCUUAACUCGGCGCGCCCGCGCUGCGCAGGGCCGGGUGCGGGCAGCGCUCCGCGGCGGGAGCGGGAGCGGGGAAGGAAGGACGGACGGACAGACGGACGGAUCCCUGCUCGCCCCACGACGCUCCCAGCCCUGCUUCUCGGCGGGGCCGGGCUUCUCCCUCCGAGCACACCGGGGUGUGCUGCGGGGAGGCGGCGUUCGGCUGCUCCCAGCUCCAGGCAGCCCCAGACGCCUCCCCGGGCUCCGGGCUGCGCUCUCCGGAGCGAGGGGGAAAGGAGACUGAUGUCGCUCCUUCAAGGUGAAGGGCAGUGCUGGCAUGACGGAAAAGCAGCCUGUGCUCUCUGCCAAAGACUGGGGACCUUCCUGAAGAUUCAGUGCUCUUCAGUUUGGUUUUUUUACGGUCUUAUUUUAGAGCUUAUGGAAGAAUUGGCUGAUAAUCAAGAGGGAGAUUCUGCCAAUAUAUCCAGCUAGAGACUGCACUGUGAAUUACCUCCAGGUCUCUGGAGGUGCAAGCCCAGUGUGCAAAGCACUCUGCAUGCUGCUGCCUUAACCCUGCCUUUGGACCCCAGCCCCUGAGGAGGAUGAGGCGCUUUUCCUCCACACCAUCCCAAAUAGGAGCUGAACAACUUCAGAAAUGAAAAUCUGCUUUGAAGGUGUCACCAUGGUCACCCUGCUUCUCUGGGAGGCAGUUUGGUAAGAAAACCAAACUGGGAAGCAGAGCCAAGCUCCCCAGCCAUGGCCUGGAAGAAACUAAAGCAAGCAGGAAGAUUUUAGAAAGCCCCUCAGAGCCCAGCACAUCAGUUGUUCAGCUUUGGUGACGUCCUUCAGAGCCAACAAGCUGCAAGCAGCUGCCCUCCUUCCUCUCCUGCUUCUCCCCAUGGAGCAGGUGGAGGGGAACAAAUAUGAAGAAGGGAAGCUCAAGGCCUCACUGCAAGCUUGAUCUGCUCUGCUCAGUGUGCCCACACCCACACACCUCUCCAACAGCAGCCAGCUGCCCCCAGAGGAGAAGGUGUGAUCCUGGCACAUUGCAGAGGAUGGGAACACGAGGGCGACUAUCAAGGCUUGAGAAUAUACCGAGGUUGAGUAAAGGCUUGCCUGGGUGAUGAAAUGUUCGUGAAGUGGCACAUUAAUUGAGGAAAGGUGCAAAAGGCAGUCCAUCACGACUUCACCAGCUUGUGCUACCAAGCAUCCCUUGAAAGGCUAAUUAAAACUAGCAGAGGGAGAGGAGCCUGCUAACAGGAUCACAGCCUUGCUUGGAUUGAGUCAUAAGUGUGUAGUAGGCAUUUGUGUUUUCCUCUACGUGUGUCUUCCAAGCCGAGUUGACGGAGAAUGUUGCAGUUUUUUGAAAUCCGCAGAGUAGGAUGAAAACACAGACUAGAUAGCGAGGCAAGGUCUAGGCAUGAAGCAUGAAGAGAAAAAGCCAUGACCGUCUUCCGCAAAUAAAUAAAUAAAUAAGUAAAUAUCUGCCCGAAAUGAGUGCUAAUUAACUUGCAAUAAACCAACUUAACCACUUAGGGGCAGCGUUAACACAGAGUUAACAUGCAAAACAAACCUGUAGUUUCUCACCUGGUUAAUUUAAUACACGUCGUGAAUAUUCAUAGCGCAUGAAACCCUGAUACAUCAACACACCAAACGAUGCGGUCUGUCAAAACCGGGAACGCGUGGCAAGAGGAGGAACUCAGUGGCGCUCGCACGGCGCUGGCUUUGAUCAGUUCCUGUUCCUAAACACAUUCAGAGAGGAGGCAGGACUCUGCCGCUUUCCCUCCGUCGGGGUCACAGACUGUGUUUUAUACAGAGAUUAAAACCUAAAAAAAAAAAAAUAAAAAAAAAAAA